CUGUGAAGCAGGGAGCCCCCUGCAUUAAAUUCACCUGGGCAGGGAGGUGAGGUGUGGUGUGUGUGGGUCUUAUUAAAAUGCAAGUACCUGGGCCCCACUCUAAUGCUGUGGAAUCAGCCCAGCGAUCUGCAGUUUAGUGUCAGGUGAUUCCUAAAUCUUGAGAACCACUGCAUUAAGUCUGUAGGUAAAUUUGAUGGCUAAACUCCAUGUCUGCUUCUUUCAUUUUUUAGCCAUUGACUGGGUUCAGAUUGAUGCCAAUUCCUCAGUCCUUCAUGAUGAAUUCAUCGCGCACAGGCUUGGAUUAAUUCCCCUCAUUAGUGAUGACAUUGUGGACAAGCUGCAGUACUCUCGGGACUGCACAUGUGAGGAGUUCUGCCCCGAGUGCUCGGUGGAGUUCACCCUCGAUGUGCGGUGCAAUGAAGACCAGACGCGACAUGUCACGUCUCGAGACCUCAUCU
This 458-nucleotide small RNA is filed under the name Pan troglodytes (chimpanzee). RNAcentral describes it as "retained intron". Lineage: Eukaryota; Metazoa; Chordata; Mammalia; Primates; Hominidae. The record is from RNAcentral.